ACCAUACCAGAAGGACUACAUGUAGUAGAUUGGGUUAGACAGAAGAGGGGAGGAAUUGAAGUACUAGACCCUUGCUUACUAUCUCGACCUGAACCAGAAAUAGAUGAGAUGAUGCAAGCCUUUGGUAUAGCCUUAUUGUGUGUAAAUUCCUCCCCUGAUGAAAGACCAACCAUGAAAGAUGUGGCUGCAAUGCUUAAGGAGAUCAAGCAUGAAAGAGAGGAGUAUGCGAAGGUUGAUAUGCUCCUUAAAGGAUCUCCUGCAACUGACACAGAAAACAGGAACUCAAGCAGUGCAGUUCCAGCAACUUCGUCAUCAAAGUCAACAGUGCAAACUUUAUAUCCCAAAAGCAAUAACUCAAGCUUCUCUGCUUCCUCAUUGCUUUACUCAUCUUCCUCUAAUGCCAAAGUGGGUUUCAAGUGAUAAAUUCUAGAUGCUGCACAUUCAUGUAGAGGGGAAGCUUGUUUUCUUACAUGUUUGGUAACUUUUUGUUCUUCUUAAUGUAAAGAAAAGGUUGAUAUAUUUGUUUUGACUAAAUGCAAAACAACAAAUAGAGCCAAGAAUUGCAGGAUUUGGCUUUUGGUGUAAUGUUAGAUACAAGAAGAUAAUCUUCUGCUUUCUUGAAUCUUCCAAAUUCUAAUUUGCAAAUAUUGUCUCUAGCCUAGAUAACAAGAAAUAUGGGAUGUAAGAAUCAAGCACUUCAGCUCCUCCAAUACUGAUUUCUG
Molecule: unclassified non-coding RNA, 722 nt
Filed under: Hevea brasiliensis (rubber tree)
Lineage: Eukaryota; Viridiplantae; Streptophyta; Magnoliopsida; Malpighiales; Euphorbiaceae
Source: RNAcentral